AACGAACGCUGGCGGCGUGCCUAACACAUGCAAGUCGUGCGAGAAAGCCUCCUUCGGGGGGUUAGUAAAGCGGCGCACGGGUGAGUAACACGUGGGCAACCUGCCCUUGAGACUGGGACAACCCAGGGAAACCCGGGCUAAUACCAGAUACGGCCUUGGGAUCUUCGGAUCCCUUGGAGAAAUGAUGGCCUCUGCUUGCAAGCCAUCGCUCGAGGAUGGGCCCGCGGCCCAUUAGCUAGUUGGUGAGGCAACGGCUCACCAAGGCAAUGAUGGGUAGCUGGUCUGAGAGGAUGAUCAGCCACACUGGGACUGAGACACGGCCCAGACUCCUACGGGAGGCAGCAGUGGGGAAUUUUGGGCAAUGGGCGAAAGCCUGACCCAGCAACGCCGCGUGCAGGAUGAAGGCCCUCGGGUCGUAAACUGCUGUCGGGAGGGAAGAACAGCAGCGGAGGGAAUAUCUCCGUUGCCUGACGGUACCUCCAAAGG
Molecule: ribosomal RNA, 486 nt
Filed under: uncultured bacterium
Lineage: Bacteria
Description: bacterial SSU rRNA
Rfam family: Bacterial small subunit ribosomal RNA
Source: RNAcentral